UACGUAGGGUGCGAGCGUUGUCCGGAAUUAUUGGGCGUAAAGAGCUUGUAGGCGGUUUGUCGCGUCUGCUGUGAAAUCUCAAGGCUCAACCUUGAGCUUGCAGUGGGUACGGGCAGACUAGAGUGUGGUAGGGGAGACUGGAAUUCCUGGUGUAGCGGUGAAAUGCGCAGAUAUCAGGAGGAACACCGAUGGCGAAGGCAGGUCUCUGGGCCACCACUGACGCUGAGAAGCGAAAGCAUGGGGAGCGAACAGG
This 253-nucleotide ribosomal RNA is filed under the name uncultured bacterium. RNAcentral describes it as "partial 16S ribosomal RNA". It matches the Rfam family "Bacterial small subunit ribosomal RNA", at positions 524 to 776 of the family's 1533-position model. The record is from RNAcentral.